This 873-nucleotide ribosomal RNA is filed under the name Triticum aestivum (bread wheat). RNAcentral describes it as "partial small subunit ribosomal RNA". The record is from RNAcentral. Lineage: Eukaryota; Viridiplantae; Streptophyta; Magnoliopsida; Poales; Poaceae.
AUGAAAGACCUUGGUGUGGCUGAUGUUAUCUUGAACAUCAAGCUACUGAGAGAUAAUGAGGGUGGGAUCACACUUCUGCAAUCCCAUUACGUUGAGAAGGUGUUGAGUCGUUUUGGAUAUUCGGACUGCACACCAUCUCAAACACCAUAUGAUCCUAGCGUAUUGAUUCGAAAGUCCAAAGGCAUGGCUAAAGAUCAAUUGAGAUACUCUCAAAUCAUUGGUUCACUGAUGUACCUAGCGAGCGCAACGAGGCCUGACAUCGCGUUUGCUGUGAGCAAACUGAGCCGGUUUGUUUCCAAACCGGGUGAUGUACAUUGGCAUGCCGUUGAGAGAGUUAUGCGCUAUCUGAAAGGUACUAUGAACUAUGGACUUCACUAUACCGGAUACCCGUCGGUACUUGAAGGGUAUAGUGAUGCGAAUUGGAUCUCUGAUGCUGAUGAGAUGAAGGCCACAACUGGGUAUAUGUUUACUCUUGGAGGUGGCGCUGUUUCCUGGAAGUCUUGCAAGCAAACGAUCUUAACGAGAUCGACAAUGGAAGCAGAAUUAACGGCAUUAGACACAUCUGGUGUUGAAGCGAGAUGGCUUCGAGAUCUUUUGAUGGACUUGCCAUUGGUUGAUAAACCGGUUCCGGCUAUCCUUAUGAACUGUGACAAUCAAACUGUCAUCACCAAGGUGAAGAGUUCAAAGGACAACAUGAAGUCCACCAAACACAUAAGAAUGAGAUUAAACGCUGUUAGAAAAUUAAGAAACUCCGGAGUGAUAGCGUUGGACUAUGUCCAUACGGCUAAGAAUCUGGCAGAUCCCUUUACAAAAGGGCUAUCACGUGUUGUGAUAGAUAAUGCAUCGAGGGAGAUGGGUAUGAGACCCACAUGA